This 510-nucleotide ribosomal RNA is filed under the name Salmonella enterica. RNAcentral describes it as "bacterial SSU rRNA". It matches the Rfam family "Bacterial small subunit ribosomal RNA", at positions 1012 to 1522 of the family's 1533-position model. RNAcentral also lists the same sequence under 4 other names. Lineage: Bacteria; Pseudomonadati; Pseudomonadota; Gammaproteobacteria; Enterobacterales; Enterobacteriaceae. The record is from RNAcentral.
UGGUGCCUUCGGGAACUGUGAGACAGGUGCUGCAUGGCUGUCGUCAGCUCGUGUUGUGAAAUGUUGGGUUAAGUCCCGCAACGAGCGCAACCCUUAUCCUUUGUUGCCAGCGAUUAGGUCGGGAACUCAAAGGAGACUGCCAGUGAUAAACUGGAGGAAGGUGGGGAUGACGUCAAGUCAUCAUGGCCCUUACGACCAGGGCUACACACGUGCUACAAUGGCGCAUACAAAGAGAAGCGACCUCGCGAGAGCAAGCGGACCUCAUAAAGUGCGUCGUAGUCCGGAUUGGAGUCUGCAACUCGACUCCAUGAAGUCGGAAUCGCUAGUAAUCGUGGAUCAGAAUGCCACGGUGAAUACGUUCCCGGGCCUUGUACACACCGCCCGUCACACCAUGGGAGUGGGUUGCAAAAGAAGUAGGUAGCUUAACCUUCGGGAGGGCGCUUACCACUUUGUGAUUCAUGACUGGGGUGAAGUCGUAACAAGGUAACCGUAGGGGAACCUGCGGUUGGA